Molecule: small nuclear RNA, 107 nt
Filed under: Aotus nancymaae (Ma's night monkey)
Lineage: Eukaryota; Metazoa; Chordata; Mammalia; Primates; Aotidae
Source: RNAcentral
GUGCUUACUUAGGUAGCACAUAUACUAAAAUAGGAACAAUGGGGAGAACAUUAGCAUGGCCCCUGCAGAAGGAUGGCACACACAUUCAUGAACACUUCCAUAUUUUU